GAAAUGCGAUAAGUAAUGUGAAUUGCAGAAUUCAGUGAAUCAUCGAAUCUUUGAACGCACAUUGCGCCCGCCGGCAUCCCGGCGGGCAUGCCUGUUCGAGCGUCAUUACAACCCUCAGGCCCGGCCUGGCGUUGGGGUCCUGCGCUGCAGGCUCCGAAAGACAGCGGCGGGUGCGUCCCACGACCGAACGCAGUAGUUACCUCUCGUUCUGGGCGCGGGCGCACGCCGGCCGGAAAACAACCCACCUUCUCAGGUUGACCUCGGAUCAGGUAGGAAUACCCGCUGAACUUAA
RNAcentral lists this unclassified non-coding RNA (292 nucleotides) under uncultured Dictyochaeta. RNAcentral describes it as "sequence contains ITS1". The stretch from base 1 to 105 matches the Rfam family "5.8S ribosomal RNA", at positions 50 to 154 of the family's 154-position model. The record is from RNAcentral. Lineage: Eukaryota; Fungi; Ascomycota; Sordariomycetes; Chaetosphaeriales; Chaetosphaeriaceae.